RNAcentral lists this transfer RNA (86 nucleotides) under Betaproteobacteria bacterium. RNAcentral's name for it is "tRNA-Leu". It matches the Rfam family "tRNA". Rfam says of the family: Transfer RNA (tRNA) molecules are approximately 80 nucleotides in length. Their secondary structure includes four short double-helical elements and three loops (D, anti-codon, and T loops). The record is from RNAcentral. RNAcentral also lists the same sequence under 1 other name. Lineage: Bacteria; Pseudomonadati; Pseudomonadota; Betaproteobacteria.
GCCCGUAUGGUGAAAUAGGUAGACACAAGGGACUUAAAAUCCCUCGCUGACAAGGCGUGCUGGUUCGACUCCGGCUACGGGCACCA